This 1312-nucleotide long non-coding RNA is filed under the name Gallus gallus (chicken). RNAcentral describes it as "lncRNA (ENSGALG00010008606.1)". Lineage: Eukaryota; Metazoa; Chordata; Aves; Galliformes; Phasianidae. The record is from RNAcentral.
CUAGAAGAACUCAUCAAGCUACUGCAACAUAGUCACAUCAGCAGAGGCCGCACAUGACUACAACGAGCAGGGGUAAAUUAUUCCUAUAAUCCAUCUCUCAGGUUCAUCUUUGACUCUUAUGUAUCGAUAGAAGGGAGGAGAGGAAUCAAUGCAUAUCCAAGGAGAGAAGUUAAAGGCUAGGGAGAGAGAUGUGACACUGUUGUGAUUACUUUGCAAAUAUAGAGUUGUAAGAACACAAACAAACAAAAAAAAAUGCUACAUGGUGUAGGAACUACUCAUUAAUAUGAGUAUACAACCACCUGUAUGCCAUGCUGAGGCCACCCUUCUUCUGCCUGAAGCAGACAUAGUGUCUUGAGGUUCUACAGCAACAGACUUGCUGUUGAUCCUGCCAGCAAGAUAUUGAGCUGCUACUUUGUUACACCUAUGUCUGUCUAGAGGAUAUGUGUUUACAGGAAAGAAAGCAGACUGAAGCCUUUGGCUCUACUGCAAAAGUGAGAGACUGUAUAAUUUUGUGUUCCAGAACCACAUCUAGGAUAGCUGUGAGAAAAAGCAUCUGCUGCAAUGGUCUUACAACCUAAAUGAAGAUCACCUCAAUCAUCAAAGACAAGUUCAUUCCCAAAUCAGGUUCUAGGCAACCUGAGGAACCUGAAAAUACACGAAUCCAUAAGAUUUGAUGAGAUGCAUCUUGGAGACCUGAGGGAAUUAGCAACCAUAACUGCCAAGCCACUCAACAUCAUAUUUGAUAGUCAUGGCAGUCAGGCAUCUUCCUUGGUGACUGUUAAAAAAAGUAAUAUAACACUUAUUUUUAAAAGUGUUAUGAGGAGGAAUCCAGGAACUAUCAACAAGUCAGCCGCAUCUUGGUGCCUAGUAAAUCAUGAAACAGUUCAUCUCAGAAGCUAUUUUGAAGCAUACGGGUAAAAAGAAGGCGAUUAGAGAAAUUCAAUGUGGCUUCCAAAGGAAAAUCACAUCUGACUAAUCUAGCGGCCUUCUACAAUGCAGUAACUCAUAAGUGAGCAAGCGAAGAGCAAUCCACCUGGACUUCUGUGAGACCAUUGAUAUGGUGUCCUAUUCUUUCAUGAACAUUCUUGCAUGUGAUUGUAUUCUUUAAUCAUUUGUCAAUAAGUACUUUGACACCUUUGGAAAGUUGCUUUUGCCUAGAGAUUAGCCCUUCAGCUCCUCCUCCUUUCCUCAAACCUCACUCACCUGUCAUAUUAGCCUAAAACCCUACCCUACCCUAAGCAGACAUGAAAAUAGUAUCAGAAAUGUGUCUUCAGCCAUUCAGUUUUGGCUCAGGAUACAGUCAUAGCACAGU